Molecule: ribosomal RNA, 267 nt
Filed under: uncultured bacterium
Lineage: Bacteria
Description: partial 16S ribosomal RNA
Rfam family: Bacterial small subunit ribosomal RNA
Source: RNAcentral
CGGACCGGCGCACGGGUGCGUAACGCGUAUGCAACCUACCAUCAACAGGGGGAGUAACACUGAGAAAUUGGUACUAAUACCCCACUAAUAUCUCAUGCGGCAUCGCAUGGGGUUGGAAAACUACCGGUGGUUGAUGAUGGGCAUGCGUUGUAUUAGCUGGUUGGUGAGGUAACGGCUCACCAAGGCGACGAUACAUAGGGGGACUGAGAGGUUAACCCCCCCACAUUGGUACUGAGACACGGACCAAACUCCUACGGAAGGCAGCAG